UUCAGUACCAAAAGCUUGAAUCUGUGAAAAUACAAUUAGACUGCCUAGGGACAUAGCAAAAUUAAAUGAGACCUGGUUUGAUCUUAGACAUCUAUUGGAUGUCUUGAAUCUUACUCUUGGCCAGCAAACAAUCAACAUGGGAAUGAAAUAAAGGGACAUACAUAAAACAGAACCAGACUGCACUAUCAAAAAAAGUUCCUCAGCUAGUUCCGGAUCCUCAAGUAGGUCCUUUCUAGACAAUUCCUCCUCAUCAAAGCCAUUUGUGAAAGUGUGCAAAAAUCAGUCUUCCUUUUCAAUGUCUUAUGUGAUGAAGUCAUACCUGGUUUUUCUCUGAAGCUUUGGAAUUUCCCUCUUCAUUACUGUAUUUACCCAAGUAAUUAUAAUCCAGACAAAGAAUGAGGUAUACUGGAGUUAUGAAGGACCAUGCCCUGGCUUUUAGGAAACAAUGGAAAUUUUUGGAAUCUGGGUCAUUGUAUCUAUGACUUAUUCACGAAUAGCUCAAGACAGAAAGAGACAGAGAAUGAAAG
Long non-coding RNA from Canis lupus familiaris (dog), 527 nucleotides. RefSeq lists it as uncharacterized. NCBI's taxonomy places the organism in Eukaryota, Metazoa, Chordata, Mammalia, Carnivora, Canidae. The record is from RefSeq and is a predicted model, not a curated record. The transcript is spliced from 3 exons.